RNAcentral lists this ribosomal RNA (448 nucleotides) under uncultured bacterium. RNAcentral describes it as "bacterial SSU rRNA". It matches the Rfam family "Bacterial small subunit ribosomal RNA", at positions 76 to 504 of the family's 1533-position model. The record is from RNAcentral.
UUUUUUUGGGGGUGGGUUAGUGGCGAACGGGUGAGUAACACGUGAGUAACCUGCCCCUCACUUCUGGAUAACCGCUUGAAAGGGUGGCUAAUACGGGGUGUUCUGGCCUGCUCGCAUGGGUGGGUUUGGAAAGAUUCGACCGGUUUUGGUGUUUUGGUGGGGGAUGGGCUCGCGGCCUAUCAGCUUGUUGGUGGGGUGAUGGCCUGCCAAGGCUUUGACGGGUAGCCGGCCUGAGAGGGUGGGCGGUCACACUGGGACUGAGACACGGCCCAGACUCCUACGGGAGGCAGCAGUGGGGAAUAUUGCACAAUGGGCGCAAGCCUGAUGCAGCGACGCCGCGUGAGGGAUGGAGGCCUUCGGGUUGUGAACCUCUUUCGCCAGUGAAGAAGGUCCUGCUCUUUGUGGUGGGGUUGACGGUAGCUGGGUUAAUGAAGCGCCGGCUAACUAC